AGCAGCCGCGGUAAUUCCAGCUCCAAUAGCGUAUAUUAAAGUUGUUGCAGUUAAAAAGCUCGUAGUUGAAUUUCGGGGUUAGCAGGUCGGUCGUGCCAUCGGUAUGAACUGGUCUCGCUGAUCCCUCCCUCUUGACGAACUGUGAUGCCAUUAAUUUGGUGUCGCAGGGAAUCAGGACUGUUACUUUGAAAAAAUUAGAGUGUUUAAAGCAGGCUCACGCUUGAAUACAUUAGCAUGGAAUAAUGAAAUAGGACGUUUGACCCUAUUUUGUUGGCUUCUAGGAUUGACGUAAUGAUUAAUAGGGAUAGUUGGGGGCAUUAGUAUUCAAUUGUCAGAGGUGAAAUUCUUGGAUUUAUUGAAGACUAACUACUGCGAAAGCAUUUGCCAAGGAUGUUUUCAUUAAUCAAGAACGAAAGUUAGGGGAUCGAAGACGAUCAGAUACCGUCGUAGUCUUAACCAUAAACUAUGCCGACUAGGGAUCGGAUGAUGUUAAUUUUUUAAUGACUCAUUCGGCGCCUUA
This 520-nucleotide unclassified non-coding RNA is filed under the name uncultured Glomus. RNAcentral describes it as "SSU rRNA". It matches the Rfam family "Eukaryotic small subunit ribosomal RNA", at positions 569 to 1090 of the family's 1831-position model. Lineage: Eukaryota; Fungi; Glomeromycota; Glomeromycetes; Glomerales; Glomeraceae. The record is from RNAcentral.